GAUGAACGCUAGCGGCAGGCUUAAUACAUGCAAGUCGAACGGUAAGUUUGGUAGCAAUACCAAACCAAGAGUGACGUACGGGUGCGUAACACGUAUGCAACCUACCUUGUACAGGGGUAUAGCUCGGGGAAACUCGAAUUAACACCCCAUAAUAUAUUUGGUGUGGCAUCACACUAACAUUAAAACUCCGGUGGUACAAGAUGGGCAUGCGUCUGAUUAGUUAGUUGGCGGGGUAAUGGCCCACCAAGACGAUGAUCAGUAGGGGACCUGAGAGGGUGAUCCCCCACACUGG
Molecule: ribosomal RNA, 292 nt
Filed under: uncultured bacterium
Lineage: Bacteria
Description: partial 16S ribosomal RNA
Rfam family: Bacterial small subunit ribosomal RNA
Source: RNAcentral